RNAcentral lists this non-coding RNA (23 nucleotides) under Cricetulus griseus (Chinese hamster). Lineage: Eukaryota; Metazoa; Chordata; Mammalia; Rodentia; Cricetidae. The record is from RNAcentral.
UGGAGAAGGACUGCGCUGCAAAA